UACGGAGGGUGCAAGCGUUAUCCGGAUUUACUGGGUUUAAAGGGUGUGUAGGCGGACUUUUAAGUCAGGGGUGAAAUCCCGAGGCUCAACCUCGGAACUGCCUUUGAUACUAUUGGUCUUGAAUGUUGUUGAGGUGGGCGGAACGGGUCAUGUAGCGGUGAAAUGCAUAGAUAUGACCCGGAACACCGAUUGCGAAGGCAGCCCGCUAAGCAACUAUUGACGCUGAGGCACGAAAGCGUGGGGAUCGAACAGG
This 253-nucleotide ribosomal RNA is filed under the name uncultured bacterium. RNAcentral's name for it is "partial 16S ribosomal RNA". It matches the Rfam family "Bacterial small subunit ribosomal RNA", at positions 524 to 776 of the family's 1533-position model. The record is from RNAcentral.